This 253-nucleotide ribosomal RNA is filed under the name uncultured bacterium. Its description in RNAcentral is "partial 16S ribosomal RNA". It matches the Rfam family "Bacterial small subunit ribosomal RNA", at positions 524 to 776 of the family's 1533-position model. The record is from RNAcentral.
UACGGAGGGUGCAAGCGUUAUUCGGAAUUAUUGGGCGUAAAGGGCGCGUAGGCGGCUAGAUGUGUCAAAGGUGAAAUCCCUCGGCUCAACUGAGGAACUGCCUUUGAAACUGUCUGGCUUGAGACCGGAAGAGGUAAGUGGAACUGCGAGUGUAGAGGUGAAAUUCGUAGAUAUUCGGAAGAACACCAGUGGCGAAGGCGGCUCACUGGUCCGGUACUGACGCUGAGGUGCGAAAGCGUGGGGAGCAAACAGG